CCUACGGGUGGCAGCAGUGGGGGAUAUUGCACAAUGGGGGAAACCCUGAUGCAGCGACGCCGCGUGGGUGAAGAAGCGCCUCGGCGCGUACAGCCCUGUCAGCAGGGAAGAAAAUGACGGUACCUGAAGAAGAAGCACAGGCUAACUACGUGCCAGCAGCCGCGGUAAUACGUAGGGGGCAAGCGUUAUCCGGAUUUACUGGGUGUAAAGGGGGCGAAGCCGGCGAUGCAAGCCAGGAGGUAAAGCCCGGGGCCCAACCCCGGGACUGCUCUUGGAACUGCGUGGCUAGAGUGCAGGAGGGGCAGGCGGAAUUCCUGGUGUAGCGGUGAAAUGCGUAGAUAUCAGGAGGAACACCGGUGGCGAAGGCGGCCUGCUGGACUGCAACUGACGUUGAGGCCCGAAAGCGUGGGGAGCAAACAGGAUUAGAUACCCCAGUAGUC
RNAcentral lists this ribosomal RNA (440 nucleotides) under uncultured bacterium. Its description in RNAcentral is "partial 16S ribosomal RNA". It matches the Rfam family "Bacterial small subunit ribosomal RNA", at positions 338 to 795 of the family's 1533-position model. The record is from RNAcentral.